Molecule: RNase P RNA, 415 nt
Filed under: Enterococcus quebecensis
Lineage: Bacteria; Bacillati; Bacillota; Bacilli; Lactobacillales; Enterococcaceae
Description: RNase P RNA component class B
Rfam family: Bacterial RNase P class B
About the family: Ribonuclease P (RNase P) is a ubiquitous endoribonuclease, found in archaea, bacteria and eukarya as well as chloroplasts and mitochondria. Its best characterised activity is the generation of mature 5'-ends of tRNAs by cleaving the 5'-leader elements of precursor-tRNAs.
Source: RNAcentral
AUUUUCGGGUGAUCGCGGUUUGAAUUAUUCAGGCUGAGGAAAGUCCAUGCUCGCACAGGCUGAGAUGUCUGUAGUGUUCGUGCUUAGCGAAAUCAUAAGCUAAGGUACUUAAUCUAGUAAAAUCUUUUGGUUUUUUGAUCAAAUUAUUUUUACUUUUAAGAGUAACGGCAGGAAAAAUGACUAAGGUUUCGGCUAUGUCAAAGUACCCUUGAAAGUGCCACAGUGACGAAGCAAUUUUGGAAACGAAAUUGGUGGAACGCGGUAAACCCCUCGAGCGAGCAACCCAAACAAUGGUAGGGGCGCUCUUCUAAAGGAAAUGAACGAGUAGAAGAGGCAGAUUAAUUUCUGCAGAUAGAUGAUGACCGUCGAGUGUCUUUCCCUGAGAGACAUUCGAUACAGAACAUGGCUUACAGAA